GACUCUAUAGUUCAACGGGAUAGAACGGUUUCCUCCUAAGAAUCAAAUGAUGGUUCGAGUCCAUCUAGGGUCACCA
This 76-nucleotide transfer RNA is filed under the name Pseudomonas putida. RNAcentral describes it as "tRNA-Arg". It matches the Rfam family "tRNA". From Rfam's summary of the family: Transfer RNA (tRNA) molecules are approximately 80 nucleotides in length. Their secondary structure includes four short double-helical elements and three loops (D, anti-codon, and T loops). Lineage: Bacteria; Pseudomonadati; Pseudomonadota; Gammaproteobacteria; Pseudomonadales; Pseudomonadaceae. The record is from RNAcentral. RNAcentral also lists the same sequence under 1 other name.